AAGUCGUAACAAGGUCUCCGUAGGUGAACCUGCGGAGGGAUCAUUAAAACGUAUCCACGUAUAAACCUUUGUGAACUUGUUUUUCAUAACGAACGUGGGAGAUAACGAUUAAGAACUGAGAUUGAUUCAUCAGGAGUCGAGUCAAUGUAUCAGGAGUUAUCUCUUUUCGUCUCCUAUUUUUAACACUUUAUUAACCCUAUGUAAAAUUUUUAAUGUACUUAAACGAGUUUUAUGCGAAAGCAUUUAACUUGAAAAAACAUAAAAAAUUAUAGCACAACUCUUAGCAACGGAUAUCUAGGCUCUC
Molecule: unclassified non-coding RNA, 304 nt
Filed under: fungal sp.
Lineage: Eukaryota; Fungi
Description: partial internal transcribed spacer region
Rfam family: Eukaryotic small subunit ribosomal RNA (bases 1-46)
Source: RNAcentral